Molecule: RNA transcript, 2296 nt
Organism: Eriocheir sinensis (Chinese mitten crab)
Lineage: Eukaryota; Metazoa; Arthropoda; Malacostraca; Decapoda; Varunidae
Gene name: melanoma-associated antigen C1-like
Exons: 3
Source: RefSeq, a predicted model, not a curated record
AGGGUCACACUACCACCAGGGCCAUAAAACUACCCCUGGAAAUGCCCACAACCCCUACGAAAGCCUUGUCAAAUGUGUGUUUCUUUAGGUUCAUGGUACGGAGGAAGGGUCACACUACCACCAGGGUCACAAAACUACCCCUGGAAAUGCCCACAACGCCUACGAAAGCCUUGUCAAAUGUGUGUUUCUUUAGGUUCACGGUACAGAGGAAGGGUCACACUACCACCAGGGUCACAAAACUACCCCUGGAAAUGCCCACAACUCCUACGAAAGCCUUGUCAAAUGUGUGUUUCUUUAGGUUCACGGUACAGAGGAAGGGUCACACUACCACCAGGGUCAUAAAACUACUCCUGGAAAUGCCCACAACUCCUACGAAAGCCUUGUCAAAUGUGUGUUUCUUUAGGUUCAUGGUACAGAGGAAGGGUCACACUACCACCAGGGUCAUAAAACUACCCCUGGAAAUGCCCACAACUCCUACGAAAGCCUUGUCAAAUGUGUUUCUUUAGGUUCACGGUACAGAGGAAGGGUCACACUACCACCAGGGUCAUUAAACUACCCCUGGAAAUGCCCACAACGCCUACGAAAGCCUUGUCAAAUGUGUGUUUCUUUAGGUUCACGGUACAGAGGAAGGGUCACACUACCACCAGGGUCACAAAACUACCCCUGGAAAUGCCCACAACUCCCACGAAAGCCUUGUCAAAUGUGUGUUUCUUUAGGUUCACGGUACAGAGGAAGGGUCACACUACCACCAGGGUCAUGAAACUACUCCUGGAAAUGCCCACAACUCCUACGAAAGCCUUGUCAAAUGUGUGUUUCUUUAGGUUCACGGUACAGAGGAAGGGUCACACUACCACCAGGGUCAUGAAACUACUCCUGGAAAUGCCCACAACUCCUACGAAAGCCUUGUCAAAUGAGUGUUUCUUUAGGUUCAUGGUACAGAGGAAGGGUCACACUACCACCAGGGUCACAAAACUACCCCUGGAAAUGCCCACAACUCCUACGAAAGCCUUGUCAAAUAUGUGUACUUGGGCGGAGAAAUGUCUUAUAAUUUACGACCCAGGGACCGAUAGCGUCUUGGGCAAGUGUUUAUAGUGGCGCCAUCUUGUACGCCCCACACUGCCCCCGGGAGCUCAUCUCUGAUCCAGUUUAGGGAGAAUCUAGAGUCCGGGUUUACAGGCGGCCACCAGUACAGCAUGUGGGCAUAGAGCCGAUUUCACAAUCCAACACAGUGUCUUCGUAACAGCCCGAACCAAACUACAGAAUCCCAUACAAUCCAAAACGGUGAGGUCUUCCAUGUCACACUAAAUACACAAGACUUUUCCUGUAUAGUUUCAUCCAAUGUGUGAACUUAAACAUAAACACCAGACACUAUACAAGGAAAUUUCGAAGGCUCUGGUAUUGGUUUGGGAGCUUACUAACCCAUCACGGGGAACUGUGGAACUGAAUAUAAACACCAGACACUAUACAAGGAAAUUUCGAAGGCUCUGGUAUUGGUUUGGGAGCUUACUAACCCAUCACGGGGAACUGUGAAACUGAAUAUAAACACCAGACACUAUACAAGGAAAUUUCGAAGGCUCUGGUAUUGGUUUGGGAGCUUACUAACCCAUCACGGGGAACUGUGGAACUGAAUAUAAACACCAGACACUAUACAAGGAAAUUUCGAAGGCUCUGGUAUUGGUUUGGGAGCUUACUAACCCAUCACGGGGAACUGUGAAACUGAAUAUAAACACCAGACACUAUACAAGGAAAUUUCGAAGGCUCUGGUAUUGGUUUGGGAGCUUACUAACCCAUCACGGGGAACUGUGGAACUGAAUACAAACACCAGACACUAUUCAAGGAAAUUUCGAAGGCUCUGGUAUUGGUUUGGGAGCUUACUAACCCAUCACGGGGAACUGUGAAACUCGGCGGUGAUUGAACACUGGUAGCUUCUGGAGACGGGCGGGGCGCGAACCUGGGGCCUUCAAGACACCACGCCCAAACACUGACCACUCAGCCACCACCAAAAAGUGCAUGCGAAGGAAAGGAAGGAGGAAAGGGGAGGAAGGGAGGGAAGGAGAGGAACACAUGGAGAGAAAGAGGAAAGUAGAAGGGAAGGAAGGAAGGAAGGAAGGGAGGGAGAAAGGAAGGAAGGAGGGAUGGGAGAGGAAGGAAGGAAGGAAGGAAGGAAGGAAGGAAGGAGGGGAGAUAAGGAAGAAAGGAAGGAAGGAAGAAAGGAAGAGGAGGAAGGAAGGGAGAGGAAAAAUGGAGCAUAUGGAGGAAAGAAAUGGAGGAAAGAGGGAAAAAUGAGAGAGAGAGA